Molecule: ribosomal RNA, 482 nt
Filed under: uncultured bacterium
Lineage: Bacteria
Description: partial 16S ribosomal RNA
Rfam family: Bacterial small subunit ribosomal RNA
Source: RNAcentral
AUUGAACGCUGGCGGCAUGCCUUACACAUGCAAGUCGAACGGUAACGGGCCUUCGGGUGCCGACGAGUGGCGAACGGGUGAGUAAUACAUCGGAACGUGCCCGAUCGUGGGGGAUAACGAGUCGAAAGCUUUGCUAAUACCGCAUACGAUCUACGGAUGAAAGCAGGGGACCGCAAGGCCUUGCGCGGACGGAGCGGCCGAUGGCAGGUUAGGUAGUUGGUGGGAUAAAAGCUUACCAAGCCGACGAUCUGUAGCUGGUCUGAGAGGAUGAUCAGCCAAACUGGGACUGAGACACGGCCCAGACUCCUACGGGAGGCAGCAGUGGGGAAUUUUGGACAAUGGGCGCAAGCCUGAUCCAGCCAUGCCGCGUGCAGGAUGAAGGCCUUCGGGUUGUAAACUGCUUUGGUACGGAACGAAAAGCCUUCUUUUAAUACAGGAGGGUCAUGACGGUACCGUAAGAAUAAGCACCGGCUAACUACGUG